RNAcentral lists this ribosomal RNA (216 nucleotides) under Triticum aestivum (bread wheat). Its description in RNAcentral is "partial small subunit ribosomal RNA". Lineage: Eukaryota; Viridiplantae; Streptophyta; Magnoliopsida; Poales; Poaceae. The record is from RNAcentral.
AUGAAUUGCCUAAGUUGGAACUGCCGGGGAGGGGGGAACACCCGGACAGUUCGUGAGUUAGCGACGUUGUGUAAGUCAUGUUCCCCCAUGCUCGUUGUUCUGUGUGAAACUAGACAAAAGGAGGAGAAGAUGAAAAGGAUCCAGGCCAAACUGGGGCUGAAGGGUUUUUGUGGAGUGGACAGCAAUGGUCUUAGUGGUGGUUUGGCGCUAUACUGA